UGGGGAAUAUUGGACAAUGGGCGCAAGCCUGAUCCAGCCAUGCCGCGUGUGUGAAGAAGGCCUUUUGGUUGUAAAGCACUUUAAGCGAGGAGGAGGCUACUUGGAUUAAUACUCUAGGAUAGUGGACGUUACUCGCAGAAUAAGCACCGGCUAACUCUGUGCCAGCAGCCGCGGUAAUACAGAGGGUGCGAGCGUUAAUCGGAUUUACUGGGCGUAAAGCGUGCGUAGGCGGCUUUUUAAGUCGGAUGUGAAAUCCCUGAGCUUAACUUAGGAAUUGGAUUCGAUACUGGGAAGCUAGAGUAUGGGAGAGGAUGGUAGAAUUCCAGGUGUAGCGGUGAAAUGCGUAGAGAUCUGGAGGAAUACCGAUGGCGAAGGCAGCCAUCUGGCCUAAUACUGACGCUGAGGUACGAAAGCAUGGGGAGCAAACAGG
This 430-nucleotide ribosomal RNA is filed under the name Acidobacteriota bacterium. RNAcentral describes it as "Acidobacteria bacterium partial 16S ribosomal RNA". It matches the Rfam family "Bacterial small subunit ribosomal RNA", at positions 355 to 776 of the family's 1533-position model. The record is from RNAcentral. Lineage: Bacteria; Pseudomonadati; Acidobacteriota.